RNAcentral lists this ribosomal RNA (406 nucleotides) under uncultured bacterium. Its description in RNAcentral is "partial 16S ribosomal RNA". It matches the Rfam family "Bacterial small subunit ribosomal RNA", at positions 30 to 526 of the family's 1533-position model. The record is from RNAcentral.
AUUGAACGCUGGCGGCAGGCCUAACACAUGCAAGUCGAACGAGUGGCGGACGGGUGAGUAAUGUCUUGGAAACUGCCUGAUGGAGGGGGAUAACUACUGGAAACGGUAGCUAAUACCGCAUACCAUCAGAUUUGCCCAGAGGGGAUUAGCUUGUUGGUGGGGUAAAGGCUCACCAAGGCGACGAUCCCUAGCUGGUCUGAGAGGGUGACCAGCCACACUGGAACUGAGACACGGCCCAGACUCCUACGGGAGGCAGCAGUGGGGAAUCUUGCGCAAUGGGCGAAAGCCUGAUGGAGCCAUGCCGCGUGUGUGAAGAAGGUUUUCGGGGCGUAAAGUACUGUCAGCGGGGAGGCGUUACCCAAAGAAAAAGCAACGGCUAACUACGUGCCAGCCGCCGCGGUAAUUC